Molecule: ribosomal RNA, 792 nt
Filed under: Escherichia coli
Lineage: Bacteria; Pseudomonadati; Pseudomonadota; Gammaproteobacteria; Enterobacterales; Enterobacteriaceae
Description: partial 23S ribosomal RNA
Rfam family: Bacterial large subunit ribosomal RNA
Source: RNAcentral
CACAAAAAUGCACAUGCUGUGAGCUCGAUGAGUAGGGCGGGACACGUGGUAUCCUGUCUGAAUAUGGGGGGACCAUCCUCCAAGGCUAAAUACUCCUGACUGACCGAUAGUGAACCAGUACCGUGAGGGAAAGGCGAAAAGAACCCCGGCGAGGGGAGUGAAAAAGAACCUGAAACCGUGUACGUACAAGCAGUGGGAGCACGCUUAGGCGUGUGACUGCGUACCUUUUGUAUAAUGGGUCAGCGACUUAUAUUCUGUAGCAAGGUUAACCGAAUAGGGGAGCCGAAGGGAAACCGAGUCUUAACUGGGCGUUAAGUUGCAGGGUAUAGACCCGAAACCCGGUGAUCUAGCCAUGGGCAGGUUGAAGGUUGGGUAACACUAACUGGAGGACCGAACCGACUAAUGUUGAAAAAUUAGCGGAUGACUUGUGGCUGGGGGUGAAAGGCCAAUCAAACCGGGAGAUAGCUGGUUCUCCCCGAAAGCUAUUUAGGUAGCGCCUCGUGAAUUCAUCUCCGGGGGUAGAGCACUGUUUCGGCAAGGGGGUCAUCCCGACUUACCAACCCGAUGCAAACUGCGAAUACCGGAGAAUGUUAUCACGGGAGACACACGGCGGGUGCUAACGUCCGUCGUGAAGAGGGAAACAACCCAGACCGCCAGCUAAGGUCCCAAAGUCAUGGUUAAGUGGGAAACGAUGUGGGAAGGCCCAGACAGCCAGGAUGUUGGCUUAGAAGCAGCCAUCAUUUAAAGAAAGCGUAAUAGCUCACUGGUCGAGUCGGCCUGCGCGGAAGAUGU